This 301-nucleotide ribosomal RNA is filed under the name uncultured bacterium. RNAcentral describes it as "partial 16S ribosomal RNA". It matches the Rfam family "Bacterial small subunit ribosomal RNA", at positions 509 to 807 of the family's 1533-position model. The record is from RNAcentral.
CAGUAGCCACGGUAAUACGAAGGGUGCAAGCGUUAAUCGGAAUUACUGGGCGUAAAGCGUGCGUAGGCGGUUUGUUAAGUCUGCUGUGAAAUCCCCGGGCUCAACCUGGGAAUGGCAGUGGAUACUGGCAAGCUAGAGUGUGUCAGAGGAUGGUGGAAUUCCCGGUGUAGCGGUGAAAUGCGUAGAGAUCGGGAGGAACAUCAGUGGCGAAGGCGGCCAUCUGGGACAACACUGACGCUGAGGCAUGAAAGCGUGGGGAGCAAACAGGAUUAGAUACCCGCGUAGUCCCUGUCUCUUAUAC